Molecule: long non-coding RNA, 1850 nt
Organism: Mus musculus (house mouse)
Lineage: Eukaryota; Metazoa; Chordata; Mammalia; Rodentia; Muridae
Product: predicted gene 4755
Exons: 3
Source: RefSeq, a predicted model, not a curated record
GGAGCGCCCCACCCCCCAGGGAUCCAGCCACACCCCCUUCCACGCCUCCUAGGAUCGAAGCCCACCCCACUCUUCAGCUCUUGCAGGUCUGAGUCCCACCUUCCUCCCCUGAGCACUGGUGAGUGCCGGCAAUCUGUAAUUCCCGCGUCGCACCUUCCUUGAUGCGUAGCUGACGGAGACCCAGGUGCACUCGCUACUAUGUCCUGGUCCGGAGUCCGGAGGCACUGCCCUGGAGAAGGGCGAUUGUUAGUUCUCUACGUGCGAGGCUGCAGCGCCCUCUGGGCGAGGACACCCAGGGGUCCUCCAGGUGACCGCAGGCCUAACCAGCUGCGGAGCUCCAGUUGAAUUCCUGUUCCUUCAUGAUUCUCUAUGGGGCCUGGACCUCACAGUUUCCAACGUCCUUCAGACGUGUCAGUCCAAAAAGGAGCCCAGAGAGCCUACAGGCGAGGCAGAUAGCAGCGAGAGCAAGGAGGAAGAACCAGCCCUGUCUUGCCCUCAAUCUGUAGAUGGUGCCAAAGGCCCUUUGCACCUGCAAGGCAGGGGCCAUAGAUGGCAUCCAUCCUUGUUCCUCAGCCCCACAUCAGCUGGCCUGGACUGAGAAGCUAGAUCUGAGGCUCAGCGUCUCGGGAAGUCCCCAGUGUAGACUCUACACUGUGGAACCAGCCUUCUGGGAAUUCAACAGCCUCCUUUACACACACCACACCUCCAGCAGUAGCCCAACAACCAGCACCCAGUUGUGUUUGAACACUUUUGUCCUCAGGAAACUCUCCCUUUUGGCGUCUCAGCUGCCCUAGGUCUAACUAUGGGCUACAUACAGAUCCUGCCCAGUUCUUGCCUAGAUCCUUGAGGGUCUUGGUAAAGAAUACCCAAUAGCAAGGCUCAGGAAGGCUUAGGACCUAAAAAGCAGGUGCCUCCUAACACAGUGGCUUUGGGAUCUGAAGUCAGCUCUUCAGUCCUUUGAGCCUGAUAUUUGGAGGAAAAUAGGACACUUUGGUAUUUUACCUUCCUGUCCUCUCAAAAUGGGGGCGGGAGGGGGGGGGGGAGACGGGAACAGGAAGGGACUGAUGAGGCUGUUUCAUGUUUUAAACAUGACCAGCUUGAUCUUUCCUUCCAACUGCAUAAGUUUAGCCCAGAUCAAUGAGACAGUAAAGAGGCAACGAAGACGACUCCUAUAGGGAGACCCCAAGAAAGGCACAUAAAGAAAGGAGGCUAUGGUCCUGUUGACCUCAGAGCCCAGGCACCCUACAUGGCUUGUGAUUCCUCCCUGUCCUCAAUAUGCAAGAGGUUGGAGAGAUGGCUCAGGGGUUAAGAGCACUGACUAUUCUUCCAGAGGAUCAGGGUUCAAUUCCCAGCACCUGUAUGGCGACUUACAGCUGUCUAUAACUCCAGUACCAGAGGAUACAACAUCCUCACACGGACAUACAUGCCUUGAUAUGGAUGGACAUUUUAUGUCCUCUCGGUUGGACUCAGAUCAAGUUACGGGAGCUGUGGUGUGAGUUUCCUCAUCAUUCCCAUCAUAAAACAUCUUGCUGAAGCUUUUUGUUGCUACCUGGUUAGGAAGAGCAUCUCUGGUCGCCUCUCAGCCUGUUCUCCAUCCCUUUCUCAGAUGGUUCCCUAACUAGGCCAUUGAGGUGCCUUAGCCGGAACAAUGUGCUCUUGUACAAGCUUGAUAAACCACCGCACUUGGCUCCCUGGAACCCACCCAAAGGUGGAAGGGGAGAAUCAACUUACAGAACUGUCCUCUGUCCACACAUCCUCCCUUCACACAGUAACAAUAGAUACUUUUUUUUAAUCCCCUAAAAUUAAGAUGUGUUCAUAGCUACAGCAAGUAAAGAUGACCUUUUCCAGCA